RNAcentral lists this ribosomal RNA (746 nucleotides) under uncultured marine bacterium. RNAcentral's name for it is "bacterial SSU rRNA". It matches the Rfam family "Bacterial small subunit ribosomal RNA", at positions 1 to 795 of the family's 1533-position model. The record is from RNAcentral.
UCGAUUGAGUUUGAUCCUGGCUCAGAACGAACGCUGGCGGCAGGCUUAACACAUGCAAGUCGAACGCCCUCUUCGGAGGGAGUGGCAGACGGGUGAGUAACGCGCGGGAAUUUACCCAGCUCUACGGAACAACUCAGGGAAACUUGAGCUAAUACCGUAUACGCCCUUUGGGGGAAAGAUUUAUCGGAGUUGGAUGAGCCCGCGUUUGAUUAGCUAGUUGGUGGGGUAAUGGCCUACCAAGGCGACGAUCAAUAGCUGGUCUGAGAGGAUGAUCAGCCACACUGGGACUGAGACACGGCCCAGACUCCUACGGGAGGCAGCAGUGGGGAAUAUUGGACAAUGGGCGCAAGCCUGAUCCAGCCAUGCCGCGUGAGUGAUGAAGGCCCUAGGGUUGUAAAGCUCUUUCAACGGUGAAGAUAAUGACGGUAACCGUAGAAGAAGCCCCGGCUAACUUCGUGCCAGCAGCCGCGGUAAUACGAAGGGGGCUAGCGUUGUUCGGAUUUACUGGGCGUAAAGCGCACGUAGGCGGAUCGUUAAGUGAGGGGUGAAAUCCCAGGGCUCAACCCUGGAACUGCCUUUCAUACUGGCGAUCUGGAGUUCGAGAGAGGUGAGUGGAAUUUGUAAGUGUAGAGGUGAAAUUGGUAGAUAUUCGGAGGAACACCAGUGGNNAAUAAUCCUACUCACUAUAGGGAGAAUUAUCCCUACGAAGCAUGCGGGAGCAAACCAGGGCGGCCACCGGAAUACUC